Molecule: ribosomal RNA, 789 nt
Filed under: Streptomyces sp. qf10-1
Lineage: Bacteria; Bacillati; Actinomycetota; Actinomycetes; Kitasatosporales; Streptomycetaceae
Description: bacterial SSU rRNA
Rfam family: Bacterial small subunit ribosomal RNA
Source: RNAcentral
UGCAAGUCGUACGAUGAACCACUUCGGUGGGGAUUAGUGGCGAACGGGUGAGUAACACGUGGGCAAUCUGCCCUUCACUCUGGGACAAGCCCUGGAAACGGGGUCUAAUACCGGAUACGACCUGCCGAGGCAUCUCGGCGGGUGGAAAGCUCCGGCGGUGAAGGAUGAGCCCGCGGCCUAUCAGCUAGUUGGUGAGGUAACGGCUCACCAAGGCGACGACGGGUAGCCGGCCUGAGAGGGCGACCGGCCACACUGGGACUGAGACACGGCCCAGACUCCUACGGGAGGCAGCAGUGGGGAAUAUUGCACAAUGGGCGAAAGCCUGAUGCAGCGACGCCGCGUGAGGGAUGACGGCCUUCGGGUUGUAAACCUCUUUCAGCAGGGAAGAAGCGAAAGUGACGGUACCUGCAGAAGAAGCGCCGGCUAACUACGUGCCAGCAGCCGCGGUAAUACGUAGGGCGCAAGCGUUGUCCGGAAUUAUUGGGCGUAAAGAGCUCGUAGGCGGCUUGUCACGUCGGUUGUGAAAGCCCGGGGCUUAACCCCGGGUCUGCAGUCGAUACGGGCAGGCUAGAGUUCGGUAGGGGAGAUCGGAAUUCCUGGUGUAGCGGUGAAAUGCGCAGAUAUCAGGAGGAACACCGGUGGCGAAGGCGGAUCUCUGGGCCGAUACUGACGCUGAGGAGCGAAAGCGUGGGGGAGCGAACAGGAUUAGAUACCCUGGUAGUCCACGCCGUAAACGGUGGGCACUAGGUGUGGGCAACAUUCCACGUUGUCCGUGCCGCAGCUAACGCA